This 253-nucleotide ribosomal RNA is filed under the name uncultured bacterium. RNAcentral describes it as "partial 16S ribosomal RNA". It matches the Rfam family "Bacterial small subunit ribosomal RNA", at positions 524 to 776 of the family's 1533-position model. The record is from RNAcentral.
UACAGGGGGGGCAAGCGUUGUUCGGAAUUACUGGGCGUAAAGGGUUUGUAGGUGGCUUGUUAAGUCAGACGUGAAAUCCCUCAGCUUAACUUGGGAAGUGCUUUUGAUACUGCAGAGCUUGAAUGUGGGAGAGGAUAAUAGAAUUCCAGGUGUAGUGGUGAAAUUCGUAGAUAUCGGGAGGAACACCGGUGGCGAAGGCGGCGAUCUGGGUAGAUACUGACGCUGAGGUGCGAAAGCGUGGGGAGCAAACAGG